AGCUCCACUAGCGUAUAUUAAAGUUGCUGCAGUUAAAAAGCUCGUAGUCGGAUCUCGGGAUCGUGUCGGUGAUUUGGUUGCUUCUCCUGCGUUUCGGCGUUGGGGGUUGUGGCCGGUCAUCGGCCCUGCCGGCGAGGUCCCUACCUUUGGUGGGGUUCCACCUCGCUCGUGCAGCCCGCCGUUGCGAUUUGGCGGGUGGCCUUAAUUGGAUGCCCGUCUCGCUCGUGACCCUGUACCGUGAACAAAUCGGAGUGCUCAAAGCAGGCUCUCUAUCGCUCGAACGGUAGCGCAUGGAAUAAUGGAAGAGGACUUGCUUCCGCUUCUGUUGGUCUCACGGAGGCAGGUAAUGAUCAAGAGGGACGGACGGGGGCAGAGGUAUGUCUCGGCGAGAGGUGAAAUUCUUGGACCCUAGACAGACCCUCGAGAGCGAAAGCAUCUGCCAAGGAUGUUUCCA
Molecule: ribosomal RNA, 454 nt
Filed under: marine Metazoa environmental sample
Lineage: Eukaryota; Metazoa
Description: SSU rRNA
Rfam family: Eukaryotic small subunit ribosomal RNA
Source: RNAcentral